GUAGUAUUCGUUUGCCGGAUUUACCCACUGAUGUACGUAUGAGAAUUUGCUACCAUUCAUCUAAAGCAUAUAUUAUCGCGGAUUCACUGCAUUGUUUCUCAAAUUUCCCAAUGGGUGUUUACACUGGCAAGAUUUUCCAACAGUAUUUAAGGAUGCAGUGUUUCUUUGGAAACCAUCUGCAGGCAUCAUGAUCACCAUUAUUUCAAAAUGCCAUUUUUGGCCAUCACUGGAAUCCCUAAUGGACCUGUCUGAAACCUGAUUUUGUUUGUUAAAACAAUGGCUGAACAUGUUCUUGCACAAUAUUGGUUCAUGCUGAGAAGUACAUAAUGUAUAUGUGCGUCACGAGGUAUAGACGCCAAAAUAACAGCAAACGGGAAGAAACCUACUGUUACCGAAGGUUUGGACUUGCUACCUGAAACAAGAAUGAAAGCGUACCAUGGAACUAAAAUAAACUGCUGGACAUCCAAGGAGGGUAUGAACAUACGACCGAUUUAUGGUAUCAUAUAAUAUUAUGAUGAGAAAUAUUUUUCGUCAUCUGAAAACAAAGUUGUUGAGCAAAAUUUUACUGAAACUCUAGUGAAUGUGAUUGAAAUCGCAUUUUUUGUCCAAUUGGAUGUAAUUCUCGUUUGUACAUAUAGAUCUCUGGUCGACUUAAGGAAAUUGGUACCAGUUGUCGCGCAGAUAGCGCUGGCCUUUCUUAUGGGUUCUUACACGGAUUGAGUGCUUUGAAGAAAUGAUCAUGGCAUCCUUCGGUUGUUAAAUACCAAUCAUGAUAAAAUAAAUGUACUUAUUUAAUCUAGAAAUUACAUAGGAUUGUUAAAUCAAAGUUAAUUUUCUAGAACUUGUUCAGUUAUGUCUUGAUUAAUGGAGAAAUACAUAUAGCCUUUCAAAUCAAUCUUUCGUGUAACACUA
Long non-coding RNA from Daphnia carinata, 912 nucleotides. RefSeq lists it as uncharacterized. The record is from RefSeq and is a predicted model, not a curated record. The transcript is spliced from 5 exons. Lineage: Eukaryota; Metazoa; Arthropoda; Branchiopoda; Diplostraca; Daphniidae.